AACGAACGCUGGCGGCAGGCUUAACACAUGCAAGUCGAGCGCCCCGCAAGGGGAGCGGCAGACGGGUGAGUAACGCGUGGGAAUCUACCCAUCUCUACGGAAUAACGCAUGGAAACGUGUGCUAAUACCGUAUACGUCCUUCGGGAGAAAGAUUUUUCGGAGAUGGAUGAGCCCGCGUUUGAUUAGCUAGUUGGUGGGGUAAAGGCCUACCAAGGCGACGACCCAUAGGGGGUCUGAGAGGAUGAUCAGACACACUGAGACUGAGACACGGCCCAGACUCCUACGGGAGGAAGCGGUGGGUAAUAUUGGACAAUGGGCGCAGGCCUGAUCCAGCCAUGCCGCGUGAGUGAUGAAGGCCCUAGGGUUGUAAAGCUCUUUCACCGGUGAAGAUAAUGACGGUAACCGGAGAAGAAGCACCGGCUAACUUCGUGCCAGCAGCCGCCGUAA
RNAcentral lists this ribosomal RNA (447 nucleotides) under uncultured bacterium. RNAcentral describes it as "partial 16S ribosomal RNA". It matches the Rfam family "Bacterial small subunit ribosomal RNA", at positions 29 to 523 of the family's 1533-position model. The record is from RNAcentral.